CAUUUUUCUCACACUCCACUCCCUCGCACUCUCCUCUACCUCUCCUCCACGAAAAUGCUGCUGCCCCUUGCUCCCAUGGCCGGCCAUGGCCAUGGAAGGCACUCCAAGAUGAAGCUCCCUCCUCCCUCAAGCUUCCCCUCACCAUGAGAGCCUCCCUCUCCCUCUCUUCUCCCCUAACCUUUGAUGAAUCCAGCUCCCUUUCUCCUUUCCCCUCUCACAAGAUUGGAUCUUGAUGCAGGUGCAUGUUGGUCCAAGCAUGGAGAAGGUUGAGCUAUUCUCAGAUCUGAAGUUCUUGAGCAAAAUCCAAAUCGAGUGAUUCAAAGUUCCGCAGAUAGAUACGGAAAAGAUCUACAACUUGGCGUUGGUCUCAUCCUCAAAUUCCUUACGGAUUGUCCGUGGUGAAAGCCCUCUUCAAUACCUCCAUUUUGGCGGUGGUUUCACUUCGAUUGACCUCCUGAAACUGAAAUGGUUCACAGAUCAAGAUCUGGUCAGAUCUGACUUUGUCGAAUUAAAGCAGGAGCUUGGAAACGAAUUUUUGAAUGAAACCAGUUGGGGGAUACUUAGUUGUGCCAUGGUGAUACCGAGAGAGGCAACUGCUAAGUCGUGGCACUCUCAUACCUUUACUAGAUGCGAACGAUUCCGGAGAAGAAGAAGAAGUGGAAUUGGACAAGGAUUUUAUUUAUAUUGUUGGAAUUCUUAUUUGAUGAAGUUGAAGAAGUCCAGGGACAAAUAAGCCAAGGCAAGCCAUCUUUUGAUCUCUGAUUGGUGUCUAGUUGGAUGUCAUUUGUUGAUGUCCAAAGCACCUUGAAUUCUAUGUGUGUUGUUCUCUCUAUUUAUGUCAUCUAUGUGUGUGAGUGCAAGUGGGGUACUCCCUAGUGGUGAUACUCCACUAUUGUCGUUGUGAUUAUGGGAUGCAUGGUAUUAUGGCCGUGCUUUUCCACUUGGUUAUCUUGUAUGGUCAACUUGAGCAUGUUUCAUCUCAAGAUAAUGACUUACACCACAC
Long non-coding RNA from Lolium perenne, 1003 nucleotides. RefSeq lists it as uncharacterized. The record is from RefSeq and is a predicted model, not a curated record. NCBI's taxonomy places the organism in Eukaryota, Viridiplantae, Streptophyta, Magnoliopsida, Poales, Poaceae.